GACCCGGAGACAGGUGCUGCAUGGCUGUCGUCAGCUCGUGUCGUGAGAUGUUGGGUUAAGUCCCGCAACGAGCGCAACCCUUGUCUUUAGUUGCCAUCAUUAAGUUGGGUCGACUCUAAGAAGGACUGCCGGUGUCAAACCGGAGGAAGGUGGGGAUGACGUCAAGUCCUCAUGGCCUUUAUGACCAGGGCUACACACGUACUACAAUGGCAGGUACAAAGGGCAGCCACUUAGCGAUAAGGCGCGAAUCCCGUAAAACCUGUCUCAGUCCGGAUUGGAGUCUGCAACUCGACUCCAUGAAGUUGGAAUCGCUAGUAAUCGCAGAUCAGCGCGCUGCGGUGAAUACGUUCCCGGGCCUU
Molecule: ribosomal RNA, 359 nt
Filed under: uncultured Desulfocapsa sp.
Lineage: Bacteria; Pseudomonadati; Thermodesulfobacteriota; Desulfobulbia; Desulfobulbales; Desulfocapsaceae
Description: bacterial SSU rRNA
Rfam family: Bacterial small subunit ribosomal RNA
Source: RNAcentral